ACCUAUGCAAUAUUGCCUUCCAAAGGAAGAAAGGAAAAAGGAAGACUGUCUUCUCCAUCACAAGACUGUCCUUACUGACUGACAAAUAAAAUAUUCUCCUUAAAAAGCAAUUAUGUUUUUGCUCAUUAAGUCUGGACACCUGGAGUAAAUAUUUGUUUCAGAUUUGCAGGCAUCCUAUUACAUUUAUUUUUAAAGGUUAGAUAAAACUGUUCCUCUUGGUUACCCUUUGUAUAAUUAACCUCAGUUUACUCUGAGUCUUUAAAAAUCAAGUAUCUUAUGAAGUUCACAUCAUGAAAAACACCAAUAAAUAAGGGCAAACAUUUUACUGCAUCUUUAGGUCAACAAACAGAUCACAAUAUCAGAUUCAUAGUUUCCCACCAAAUUAUCUAAGUUUUAAAAUUCCAUAAAAGCAAUUACUAGCUCUGAAAUACAGAAACGUAUUCAUUGCCCUUACAUCUGCUUGAUUUAUUUUUGUGAGAAUCAACAGGCUUUUUUCAUCCCAAAGACGGAUAAACACCAAAUGCAUGACUAUGUACGCCUAAACCACCUGGGAUAAACUAGCACUGAACAUCUUCUCCCCAUCUCUCCUUUCUCCCAAAGGGAGAUGUGAGAUCGGACCUUACUCCUCCACCAAGGGGACAACAAGGAAGAAGCAUUUCCUGAGGCAGCAGGGAGCAUUUCUCCCCAUGGCAUGCUCACUGACACUGGGGAUACAGUUGACCUUGUGUGCCCGCUGGGGCUGCCUCUAGUGCCUAGCCCACUACCAAGGAACACCAGCCUGGCACAGCUAUGCAGAGCAGCACCAAGCCGAGCCAAGCCAGCAGUGGCAUAAUCUACUAAUGGCUUCUUUUCAUUUCAGCCCUCCCUGAGAGACUCAGUGGCAGAUUGUAGACUCAAUUACUCUCAUGUCAGGUGAUUAUCCUAGGUCUUAAUGUAAUCUUCCAUUCACACAUACCAUAUUUCAAUUACGGCAGCUAUGAAACAAGCUGUGUAUUCAAAUCACCAAUCACCUUAUCACUGCUGAACAAUGUCAACUGUAAAAAACGCCAGCUGAAGGCAAUUACACAUGUGUUGAGAACCGAUUAUGAUUACUCUCUGUGGUAUUUGUGAUGAGCUGGGGAAUGUUCUGAAAAUUUAAUUUAAUGACAAUAUGCUUGCUGUACAAUCCAUAAUACCUCCUGAAUCCAGCAUGGGGCUAUUAAAACUGAUAGGAGCAUAUUAUCACCGAACUGAAAAGCUGGGUUGGGAUGGUUGCUGGAUGUCUCUACAGGGAAUGAUAGGUAAUUUCUCCACAUAUUUCUAACGGCUGAGGCAGACAGCUUCCAGUUCCAGCUGCACUCUGAAGGUGGUCCCCUCCCCUCCCUUUCUCCCUGGCAGAGCUGAGUUAAGGUGUUUUACUGGAGCCACUGGAGAGAGAGGGGAAGGGAAGGGAAGCAAAGCGAAGCGAGGGGGAGGUGGGGAUGGUGUGGGCCCAGGGGAGGACUGUGUCUCCAAGGCCUUCAGGCCACAGUGUUGUUUCCCUGAGGGACUUUCCUGAGCUCAUUAACUCCUCUUCCUGAUCCCCCGCACGCCUCCUCAUUUCUUGUUUGGCCACCCUCUCGCGGUACUUUGCCUAGCUAAGAUGGUUCAAGCGGCGAGGAGGAGAGGGACUAGUGGCCCUUGACGGCGGCCGCCCCGCCGGGCGCCGAGAGUGCAUCCGCACCCCCACCCCUGUUGCUAGGCGACCACUCCGGCCAGCGCGGCUUGCACCGAUCUCCCCAGGCGCGGCCCGAUCCUGCCCGCAGGCAGCUACGGGAAAGCUUGUCCUAAAAUAUCCCAGAUGUCUCCACGUAUGUAACAAAGGUGAAAUUCCAGUUGUGCGGCUCACGGGCCUGUCUGGCAUAGCCCGUGUUUCCAACAGAUCGGACUACUGUGGCCAUUUGCCCUUCUUUGUAUACAGGAUGAAUGUUCAGUGUAGAACGGGGAACUCAGCUACAUGCUUGCUUUUUAAACCUGGUAAUCAAAUAGUUCCCAAACAGUCCCAAGCAUGUUAUAGGAAUGAAGAACGGAACAGAAGAUUUGAUUAAAGAUCUGUGUCUUGAGAAAAAGUGUAGUUUGAGGUCUAGAAACCACUGGAAUUGGUUAUGUUCUUGGAAGAAGAUGGCUGCAGCAGAAAAGGAGAUGGACCAAGCCCUCAUUUCCAAGCAAGAACACCUUCAAAUGACUUCAGACAAGCUUUAAUUGAAAACUUGAACACACGCUGAAUGUGUCAGUGCUUGGACAGUCACUGUACACAAACAUUUAUAUUCAAUGAAAGGAAAGCCCCACUAACCAAACCCAGCCUGAUUGGAGUUUAAGACUGCCAAGCAGCACCUGUCAGGUAAAGCUACAGUAGUACACUGUUUCCAGCCAGAUGGAUGUACAGAGGUCAACAAGAGACCUAAGGUCUGCCCAACUGGAGAUACUGAAAGAGCUGUAGAAAAGCAAAAUCGAAAAACCUUCUACUCUGGAUAAUAGAACUGCUGCAAUCACAGACAUGCUCCACACAUCAUUAAGGGCUCAUCCUUAAUGAUGAUUGAACUAUGAGAAUUUAGAAGUGAAGGAC
Long non-coding RNA from Numida meleagris (helmeted guineafowl), 2584 nucleotides. RefSeq lists it as uncharacterized. NCBI's taxonomy places the organism in Eukaryota, Metazoa, Chordata, Aves, Galliformes, Numididae. The transcript has 5 exons. The record is from RefSeq and is a predicted model, not a curated record.